GUGUCAGCAGCCGCGGUAAUACGAAUGGGGCAAGCGUUGUUCGGAAUCACUGGGCUUAAAGCGUGCGUAGGCGGAUCUGCAAGUCAGAAGUGAAAUCCCCGGGCUUAACCCGGGAACUGCUUUUGAAACUGCAAAUCUGGAAUCCGGGAGGGGUUAGGAGAAUUCCUAGUGUAGAGGUGAAAUUCGCAGAUAUUAGGAGGAAUACCAGUGGCGUAGGCGCCUAACUGGACCGGUAUUGACGCUGAGGUACGAAAGCGUGGGUAGCAAACAGGAUUAGAUACCCUGGUAGUCC
RNAcentral lists this ribosomal RNA (292 nucleotides) under uncultured bacterium. RNAcentral's name for it is "partial 16S ribosomal RNA". It matches the Rfam family "Bacterial small subunit ribosomal RNA", at positions 505 to 796 of the family's 1533-position model. The record is from RNAcentral.